Molecule: non-coding RNA, 23 nt
Filed under: Cricetulus griseus (Chinese hamster)
Lineage: Eukaryota; Metazoa; Chordata; Mammalia; Rodentia; Cricetidae
Source: RNAcentral
CCUGGAGCUGAAGCAGCGAGACG